UCAGGGAACUGUGGAAGUCUGUGUGAAACCUGUUGAUCAGUUUUUGUUAAUAUUCUAACAAUCAAAAACACAAGAUGGCUUAGGAGCAUAUCACAGAAUUUCUCAUUCCAAAAAGAACACAUUUUCCCAUAGGCCAUGUAGGAACAGUUCAAAGCAUUAAAAAAAUCCAAAGAUAUAUGAAAUACUAAAUUGCAGUAUUUUCUGUUAUGUACUAGUAGAACAUUAUGGCUUGUCAACAGAAUAUAAAGAGAUAGUACUUGACUAUUUUUGGUAAAGUACACUCAAAAUGCCUUUAUUUGUUCCCAGACAAGGUGGAAGAGUUCUAUGUGGAAUGCAACAUGCUUCAUCAUAAUGCAACAGAGAACAUCAUUGACAUGAUACAGUGUGACUACUGUUCAAGGUGGACGCACAAAGAAUGUGCCACAGACAUGGGUGACAUGUUCAAAUGUGAAAAGUGUAACAUCAAUUAAACAGUUUUACCCCACCA
Poecilia reticulata (guppy) is the source of this 487-nucleotide long non-coding RNA. RefSeq lists it as uncharacterized. Lineage: Eukaryota; Metazoa; Chordata; Actinopteri; Cyprinodontiformes; Poeciliidae. The record is from RefSeq and is a predicted model, not a curated record.